Molecule: long non-coding RNA, 1405 nt
Organism: Rhineura floridana
Lineage: Eukaryota; Metazoa; Chordata; Lepidosauria; Squamata; Rhineuridae
Exons: 2
Source: RefSeq, a predicted model, not a curated record
CCUGGUCAAAGAAGGAAGCCUGUAUCCUAUCCAUCCAUAUCAUGGACAAAGGCUUAUCCACAGCUACCCCAGAGGGCAGAGCUAGAGCUAAUGGGCUAAAGUUAUAGGAAGGCCAAAGUUGGUUGAACAUUAAGAUAAAAAACCUGAUACUGAGUGGUUUGGCAAUGGUGCCAAUUACCUAGAGGGAUGGUAGGUUCUCCCACACUGGAGGCCUCCAACAAAAGCUAGGCAGCCAUCUGGCAGGGUCUAGCUCUGGAUUCCCUGCAUAAUUAAUAAAUUAGUUUGUUUGUUUAUACAAUUUAUAUCCCUCACACUUCCUCCUGAAGGAGCCCAGGGUAGCAAACAGACAGGAAAUGGAACAAUUAAAACAUCUACAAACAAUUCCAAUACAGACGCAGACUUGGACAAAUAUCUACUUAAAAGCAUCCACUGAAGACCAGAGGCAAGUUCACAUGAAACUAUGAUGAUAUCUAAAGGGCCCCCUUUCCUGAUAUGAACCUGCCUGGAGCCUGAGAUUGUCAUCUGAAGCCCUUCUCUGCAUGGCACCUCUGAGGGAGGUCCAGAAAGUGACGACUAGAGACUGGGUGUAGUAUUCCCUCCCCCAUUUAUGGAAUGCUGUCCCCAGGAGAAGGCCCACCUAGUGCCAACCUUGUCAGCAUUUCCACACCGGGCAAAGAUGUUUUUCUUUCUCCUAUUCGGGCAGCACCAGUGAUAGGAUUGCACUGUUGAAUCUGUAGGUGAUUUCAUUGUAUUUCCCCCCUUUUGAUUGUAAAUCACUUCAGGACUUUCUUAUUGGGAAGUAGGGUUGCCAGGUGUUGGAUUUUUGGGUCCUCUCUGGGUCUCUGGGUGAGUCACCCAAUCUCAAGACUCACAGCUUUUGUUAAGAAAGUUUCUAGGUGGUCUGUUUCAAGAGAUAUAUACCAAAAAGCAGAGCUUGGAAAAGUUACUUUUUUGAACUACAGCUCCCAUCAGCCCAAUCCAGUGGCCAUCAUGGCUGGGGCUGAUGGGAGUAGUAGUUCAAAAAAGUAACUUUUCCAAGCUCUGCCAAAAAGUCAACCACCCCCUACAACUUCUGUUAAAAGCUGGGAACUGACUGCUCUGACCCUGCCCUUUCAGAUUUGUAGCCAAAAAGUGAAGUCAGGGUUGUGAUUGACAAGGGAUUUGUUGACUUCCAGGCAAUAGAUGGAACCCAUUGCAAGGCCAGAAAACAGUUGUCUUUUGCUGCUUCUCUGAAAAUCUCAUGAAUUGAGUAAGUUUAUAGCUUUCAGCAGUAGUAAAAGUCUCUUUCUCUGUGUACAGGAGAUGUAGAACAAAAAAUCACAGUGGGAUCUUGAUAGGCUAUUGUUUACUGUGAACAAUUUCAGUUAUGAGUAUAAUAAAAGUGUACUUGCAGGGUUUUUUUAAA